UACGAAGGGGGCGAGCGUUGUUCGGAUUUACUGGGCGUAAAGGGCGCGCAGGCGGUUCUGUGUGUCGCGUGUGAAAGCCCCGGGCUCAACCUGGGAACUGCGCUCGAAACGGCGGAACUAGAGUUCGGGAGAGGAGAGUGGAAUUCCCAGUGUAGAGGUGAAAUUCGUAGAUAUUGGGAAGAACACCAGUGGCGAAGGCGGCUCACUGGCCCGUAACUGACGCUGAGGUGCGAAAGCGUGGGGAGCAAACAGG
RNAcentral lists this ribosomal RNA (253 nucleotides) under uncultured bacterium. Its description in RNAcentral is "partial 16S ribosomal RNA". It matches the Rfam family "Bacterial small subunit ribosomal RNA", at positions 524 to 776 of the family's 1533-position model. The record is from RNAcentral.